Long non-coding RNA from Motacilla alba alba, 334 nucleotides. RefSeq lists it as uncharacterized. The transcript is spliced from 3 exons. NCBI's taxonomy places the organism in Eukaryota, Metazoa, Chordata, Aves, Passeriformes, Motacillidae. The record is from RefSeq and is a predicted model, not a curated record.
GGUGAACGUGGUCUGGUUUGUGUGUCUGUACCUGUCCCAGGUGUGUCCCAGGUGUGUCCCAGGUGUGUCUCACCUGUCUCAGGUGUGUCUGUACCUGUCUCUCAGGUGGUUUUCUCCUGCUGCCGUUCCUGUGGCUGGUGAACGUGGUCUGGUUUGUGUGUCUGUGCCUGUCCCAGGUGUGUCCCAGGUGUGUCCCAGGUGUGUCCCAGGUGUGUCCCAGGUGUAUCUCAGGUGUAUUUACCUGUCCCAGGUGGGUUCCUGCUGCUGCCGUUCCUGUGGCUGGUGAACGUGGUCUGGUUUGUGUGUCCCAGGUGUGUCCCAGGUGUGUCCCAGG